UUGACUCUCAUAUUGACUCUCCAGAUGGA
RNAcentral lists this non-coding RNA (29 nucleotides) under Mus musculus (house mouse). The record is from RNAcentral. Lineage: Eukaryota; Metazoa; Chordata; Mammalia; Rodentia; Muridae.